Molecule: ribosomal RNA, 497 nt
Filed under: uncultured bacterium
Lineage: Bacteria
Description: partial 16S ribosomal RNA
Rfam family: Bacterial small subunit ribosomal RNA
Source: RNAcentral
GAUGAACGCUGGCGGCGCGCCUAAUACAUGCAAGUCGAGCGAACAGAUAAGGAGCUUGCUCCUUUGACGUUAGCGGCGGACGGGUGAGUAACACGUGGAUAACCUACCUAUAAGACUGGGAUAACUUCGGGAAACCGGAGCUAAUACCGGAUAACAUAUUGAACCGCAUGGUUCAAUAGUGAAAGGCGGCUUUGCUGUCACUUAUAGAUGGAUCCGCGCCGUAUUAGCUAGUUGGUAAGGUAACGGCUUACCAAGGCAACGAUACGUAGCCGACCUGAGAGGGUGAUCGGCCACACUGGAACUGAGACACGGUCCAGACUCCUACGGGAGGCAGCAGUAGGGAAUCUUCCGCAAUGGGCGAAAGCCUGACGGAGCAACGCCGCGUGAGUGAUGAAGGUCUUCGGAUCGUAAAACUCUGUUAUCAGGGAAGAACAAAUGUGUAAGUAACUGUGCACAUCUUGACGGUACCUGAUCAGAAAGCCACGGCUAACUACGUG